UACGGAGGGGGCUAGCGUUGUUCGGAAUUAUUGGGCGUAAAGGGUGCGUAGGCGGUUUGGUAAGUCUUAUGUGAAAUCUACAGGCUCAACUUGUAGUCUGCAUGAGAAACUGCCGGGCUUGAGUGUGGGAGAGGUGAGUGGAAUUCCUGGUGUAGCGGUGAAAUGCGUAGAUAUCAGGAGGAACACCUGUGGCGAAAGCGGCUCACUGGACCAUAACUGACGCUGAUGCACGAAAGCUAGGGGAGCAAACAGG
RNAcentral lists this ribosomal RNA (253 nucleotides) under uncultured bacterium. Its description in RNAcentral is "partial 16S ribosomal RNA". It matches the Rfam family "Bacterial small subunit ribosomal RNA", at positions 524 to 776 of the family's 1533-position model. The record is from RNAcentral.